UUUUAUUUAAAUUCAGAUGCAUUUAAUUUAAAAACAAAAAGUUUAAUCGGGAUUAACGCACACACAGAUUACAGAUGAACUGUUACCGAAUUAAAAUAAAGAAAACAGAGUUUGGUUUCCAUAUUUGAAUUUAGCUCGUAUUUCCGGCUUGCCAUCCUUAUACAAUUAUACUCCUACUGCUUCCAGCUUGUGCGGUUUCCAAUACAAUUUUUCUUCAAGAUUCUUUCAUGCCUUGUCGCUCUGCUUUCAUUGAUCACCAUCGACAUGACGGACUUGACUACUGAUAUUUUGAUCCAGAACAUGACGAUGCGAUUCCUCUUCUUUCACUUUGUAUAUUCUGAAUUCGGAGUACCCUCCGUAGUCGUCUCCGUCAGAAAUUGUUUUGAGAAAUUGUGUAUUGCAUCAAUAUGGUCUCCAAUUCUUAUAGCACCGGUUACUGCUCUUCGUCUCCCCAAUAUUUUCCGGGAUUCCCCUACCGUCAGGUCUGCAAAUUGAAACCAUAAUUCCUUUGUGUAGCGUUAGGGUUAGUUCGGCAUUGUAAUCCACCAAGAUCUUAGUUUAUUAAAUAUAUAAAUUAUGUUCCACCUUAGACGCUAAAGCAACAUGAACAUUUU
Molecule: long non-coding RNA, 614 nt
Filed under: Zostera marina
Lineage: Eukaryota; Viridiplantae; Streptophyta; Magnoliopsida; Alismatales; Zosteraceae
Description: long non-coding RNA (ZMAR_LNC003741)
Source: RNAcentral